GCAAACUUGGUCAUUUAGAGGAAGUAAAAGUCGUAACAAGGUUUCCGUAGGUGAACCUGCGGAAGGAUCAUUACAGAGUAAACUUGGUGGGUUGUUGCUGGCUCUCAAUUGAGCAUGUGCACACCUGUCAUCUUUAUCUUUCCACCAUGUGCACUUUUUGUAGGACUGGAAUAGACAAUAAGCCUAGUCACUUGUGGGCUAUUGGAGGGUUGCUGAUGUUUUUCAGCUCUUUCUGUUUCAGGCUGUCUAUUCUAUGCUCUACGAUAUUUCUAUAUACACCAUGUAUGUCAAUGAACGCAAUCAAUGGGCCCAUAAAGCCUAUAAAUCUAUAAUACAACUUUCAGCAACGGAUCUCUUGGCUCUCGCAUCGAUGAAGAACGCAGC
RNAcentral lists this unclassified non-coding RNA (384 nucleotides) under uncultured fungus. RNAcentral describes it as "partial contains small subunit ribosomal RNA, internal transcribed spacer 1, and 5.8S ribosomal RNA". The stretch from base 1 to 73 matches the Rfam family "Eukaryotic small subunit ribosomal RNA", at positions 1759 to 1831 of the family's 1831-position model. The record is from RNAcentral. Lineage: Eukaryota; Fungi.